AUAUAAUGACAGGGGUGGUGAAACGCCUGAGAUUAUACCCUUUGAACCUGAUCCGGGUAAUGCCGGCGGAGGGAGCGCGUGAAACACUUUUC
RNAcentral lists this non-coding RNA (92 nucleotides) under Spirochaetota bacterium. RNAcentral's name for it is "Spirochaetes bacterium TPP sequence". It matches the Rfam family "TPP riboswitch aptamer (THI element)". Rfam says of the family: Vitamin B(1) in its active form thiamin pyrophosphate (TPP) is an essential coenzyme that is synthesised by coupling of pyrimidine and thiazole moieties in bacteria. The previously detected thiamin-regulatory element, thi box was extended, resulting in a new, highly conserved RNA secondary structure, the THI element, which is widely distributed in eubacteria and also occurs in some archaea. Analysis of operon structures identified a large number of new candidate thiamin-regulated genes, mostly transporters, in various prokaryotic organisms. Lineage: Bacteria; Pseudomonadati; Spirochaetota. The record is from RNAcentral.